GACAGCAGCAGCCACGGGAAUACGAGAGGGGCAAGCGUUAUUCGGAAUUACUGGGCGUAAAGCGCACGUAGGCGGCUUUGUAAGUAAGAGGUGAAAGCCCGGAGCUCAACUCCGGAACUGCCUUUUAGACUGCAUCGCUUGAAUCCAGGAGAGGUGAGAGGAAUUUCCGAUGUAGCGGUGAAAUGCGUAGAUAUCGGAAGGAACACCUGUGGCGAAAGCGGCUCACUGGACCAUUACUGACGCUGAUGCACGAAAGCUAGGGGAGCAAACGGGAUUAGAGACCCCUGUAGUCCCUGUCUCUUAUAC
Molecule: ribosomal RNA, 306 nt
Filed under: uncultured bacterium
Lineage: Bacteria
Description: partial 16S ribosomal RNA
Rfam family: Bacterial small subunit ribosomal RNA
Source: RNAcentral